RNAcentral lists this non-coding RNA (88 nucleotides) under Stenotrophomonas sp. yr243. The record is from RNAcentral. RNAcentral also lists the same sequence under 1 other name. Lineage: Bacteria; Pseudomonadati; Pseudomonadota; Gammaproteobacteria; Lysobacterales; Lysobacteraceae.
AACUACGGUGGGCGAUGCGUGUGGCCGCAAGGCCAUCCGGUUUUCUUCAGUUGCGCCGGGGUUCCAACCCGCAUCGCCCGCCACCCUU